RNAcentral lists this ribosomal RNA (470 nucleotides) under uncultured organism. RNAcentral's name for it is "partial 16S ribosomal RNA". It matches the Rfam family "Bacterial small subunit ribosomal RNA", at positions 335 to 797 of the family's 1533-position model. The record is from RNAcentral.
ACUCCUACGGGAGGCAGCAGUGGGGAAUUUUGGACAAUGGGCGAAAGCCUGAUCCAGCAAUGCCGCGUGAGUGAAGAAGGCCUUCGGGUUGUAAAGCUCUUUUGUCAGGGAAGAAACGGUGAGAGCUAAUAUCUUUUGCUAAUGACGGUACCUGAAGAAUAAGCACCGGCUAACUACGUGCCAGCAGCCGCGGUAAUACGUAGGGUGCAAGCGUUAAUCGGAAUUACUGGGCGUAAAGCGUGCGCAGGCGGUUUUGUAAGUCUGAUGUGAAAUCCCCGGGCUCAACCUGGGAAUUGCAUUGGAGACUGCAAGGCUAGAAUCUGGCAGAGGGGGGUAGAAUUCCACGUGUAGCAGUGAAAUGCGUAGAUAUGUGGAGGAACACCGAUGGCGAAGGCAGCCCCCUGGGUCAAGAUUGACGCUCAUGCACGAAAGCGUGGGGAGCAAACAGGAUUAGAAACCCCAGUAGUCCC